AUUGAACGCUGGCGGCAUGCCUUACACAUGCAAGUCGAACGGCAGCACGGGAGCAAUCCUGGUGGCGAGUGGCGAACGGGUGAGUAAUAUAUCGGAACGUGCCCAGUCGUGGGGAUAACGUAGCGAAAGCUACGCUAAUACCGCAUACGAUCUAUGGAUGAAAGCGGGGGAUCGCAAGACCUCGCGCGAUUGGAGCGGCCGAUAUCAGAUUAGGUAGUUGGUGAGGUAAAGGCUCACCAAGCCGACGAUCUGUAGCUGGUCUGAGAGGACGACCAGCCACACUGGGACUGAGACACGGCCCAGACUCCUACGGAGGCAGCAGUGGGGAAUUUUUGGACAAUGGGCGCAAGCCUGAUCCAGCAAUGCCGCGUGCAGGAUGAA
RNAcentral lists this ribosomal RNA (381 nucleotides) under uncultured bacterium. Its description in RNAcentral is "bacterial SSU rRNA". It matches the Rfam family "Bacterial small subunit ribosomal RNA", at positions 30 to 412 of the family's 1533-position model. The record is from RNAcentral.